This 403-nucleotide RNase P RNA is filed under the name Candidatus Omnitrophota bacterium. RNAcentral describes it as "RNase P RNA component class A". It matches the Rfam family "Bacterial RNase P class A". From Rfam's summary of the family: Ribonuclease P (RNase P) is a ubiquitous endoribonuclease, found in archaea, bacteria and eukarya as well as chloroplasts and mitochondria. The record is from RNAcentral. Lineage: Bacteria; Pseudomonadati; Candidatus Omnitrophota.
GGGCAGGUAGAAGGUGGUCGCCCGCCAGCGCUUUGUGGCGGGAGGAAAGUCCGGGCUCCGGAGGAUAGCGUAAUGGCUAAUAACCAUCCUGCGUAUGUAAUGUAUGCAGAGGAUUUCCGCCACAAAUCGUGGCGGACCCGCCAAUAUUUUUGGCGGGAGAGCCACAGAGACGAGCCCCACACCCAGAAUUCGUUUUCAAUAGAGACUUCUGGGUGUGGGGGGUGAAACGAGGCAAUCUCUACGUGGAGUAAGGUAAAAUAGGAGACGAGUGCUGAUCCGGCGCGUUAAAAGUCUCGGGUAAGCUGCUUGAGUCCUGGCGGUAACGCCAGAAUCGAGAGGAAUGGCCACACAGAUACGGAUAAUCGUAUCAAGACAGAACUCGGCUUAUUCUGCCUGCCCAUUU